Molecule: transfer RNA, 73 nt
Filed under: Pteropus alecto (black flying fox)
Lineage: Eukaryota; Metazoa; Chordata; Mammalia; Chiroptera; Pteropodidae
Rfam family: tRNA
About the family: Transfer RNA (tRNA) molecules are approximately 80 nucleotides in length.
Source: Rfam by way of RNAcentral
GGUUCCAUAGUGUAGCGGUUAGCACAUCUGCUUUACAAGCAGGAGAUCCUGGGUUCAUGCCCCAGCAGAGCCA